Molecule: long non-coding RNA, 344 nt
Filed under: Elaeis guineensis (African oil palm)
Lineage: Eukaryota; Viridiplantae; Streptophyta; Magnoliopsida; Arecales; Arecaceae
Description: long non-coding RNA (EGUI_LNC050556)
Source: RNAcentral
AGACCGCCACGGUGACUUGCAAGCAACUCACUGCACUUAGGCACUGAACUACCUGAAUUUUUAAUUCAGUGACGGAAGGCUGCUGAGUGUAGUCAAGUACUUGACUUGUCGGUGCGUGUGUCAAGAUGGGAUUGACCACUCCAGUUUAGGAGCUGUGUACAGACGUGUUUCAAUUUAGCAAAACUUUGGCCAGGGUAAUCUUUGUGAGGAGUCACAGGACUGUUUGAGUUGAGCACGAUUCGGAUGAUCUGAUCAGGGUUGACAAUUUAACCCUGAGUCAUCCUAAACACAGAGGUCAAAAGGAUGAAUUAUACAGUAACCAUAUUCACAUAGGUUCUGAGUAU